GAUGAACGCUGGCGGCGUGCCUAAUACAUGCAAGUCGAGCGAAUGGAUUAAGAGCAUGCUCUUAUGAAGUUAGCGGCGGACGGGUGAGUAACACGUGGGUAACCUGCCCAUAAGACUGGGAUAACUCCGGGAAACCGGGGCUAAUACCGGAUAACAUUUUGAACCGCAUGGUUCGAAAUUGAAAGGCGGCUUCGGCUGUCACUUAUGGAUGGACCCGCGUCGCAGUAGCUAGUUGGUGAGGGAACGGCUCACCAAGGCAACGAUGCGUAGCCGACCUGAGAGGGUGAUCGGCCACACUGGGACUGAGACACGGCCCAGACUCCUACGGGAGGCAGCAGUAGGGAAUCUUCCGCAAUGGACGAAAGUCUGACGGAGCAACGCCGCGUGAGUGAUGAAGGCUUUCGGGUCGUAAAACUCUGUUGUUAGGGAAGAACGAGUGCUAGUCGAAUAAGCUGGCACCUUGACGGUACCUAACCAGAAAGCCACGGCUAACUACGUGCCAGCCGCCGCAGUAA
Molecule: ribosomal RNA, 515 nt
Filed under: uncultured bacterium
Lineage: Bacteria
Description: partial 16S ribosomal RNA
Rfam family: Bacterial small subunit ribosomal RNA
Source: RNAcentral